GAUGAACGCUGGCGGCGUGCCUAAUACAUGCAAGUCGAGCGAACAGACGAGGAGCUUGCUCCUCUGACGUUAGCGGCGGACGGGUGAGUAACACGUGGAUAACCUACCUAUAAGACUGGGAUAACUUCGGGAAACCGGAGCUAAUACCGGAUAAUAUAUUGAACCGCAUGGUUCAAUAGUGAAAGACGGUUUUGCUGUCACUUAUAGAUGGAUCCGCGCCGCAUUAGCUAGUUGGUAAGGUAACGGCUUACCAAGGCGACGAUGCGUAGCCGACCUGAGAGGGUGAUCGGCCACACUGGAACUGAGACACGGUCCAGACUCCUACGGGAGGCAGCAGUAGGGAAUCUUCCGCAAGGGGCGAAAGCCUGACGGAGCAACGCCGCGUGAGUGAUGGAGGUCUUCGGAUCGUAAAACUCUGUUAUUAGGGAAGAACAAAUGUGUAAGUAACUAUGCACGUCUUGACGGUACCUAAGCAGAAAGCCACGGCUAACUACGG
Molecule: ribosomal RNA, 496 nt
Filed under: uncultured bacterium
Lineage: Bacteria
Description: partial 16S ribosomal RNA
Rfam family: Bacterial small subunit ribosomal RNA
Source: RNAcentral